GCAGUGCAGAAUUCCACACUGGUGGCUAGAACCGAGGCUAGCCAUGCCUCCAGGUUCUGUAUGUGUACUUGGACUGCAUUAUUUAAGGAGCAGAAGGAAUAUGGUUCUGGUGCCACUUUCAUGCAGAAACAUCUUGAAAAACUAUCUGGGAAAAUCCAGCAUUUGAAGGAGCAGAGUAAAUGUGAGGUUCCUGAUGAUGUAAGCAUUAUUCAUCUGAAAACCAUGUGGAUUCCUUGUAAGUAGCUACUAUGUUUAGCUGGAGAGAUCACUGAAAAGAGGAAGUGGCUGGAGUGGAAUAUAGAAAACUGCUGUUUUCACUUCAGAUCUUGCAGAGACUAGCAGAUGCUUGGCUAUUGUUUCAAGCAAGUGGAAUCCAAGCAGUAAAGACAAGAAUCUCACAAACAAAUGUUUGUUAGAAUAAUCAUGUAAUGAAACAAAGAAUGAAAAUAAGAUUGAGGUUCUGACACUACACUUCAACAAACACGACUGUACCGGUUAGCAUCAAAUGUAGAUGAAUGCUUUGGAACUGAUGCUGAACUGUAAGUAUAAAUUAUAUGCCAGCUUUAAGUUAUAUGAACUAGUCAAGCAUUUUCAGUUAUCA
Pezoporus occidentalis (night parrot) is the source of this 601-nucleotide long non-coding RNA. RefSeq lists it as uncharacterized. The transcript is spliced from 4 exons. The record is from RefSeq and is a predicted model, not a curated record. Lineage: Eukaryota; Metazoa; Chordata; Aves; Psittaciformes; Psittacidae.